AGUGAACGCUGGCGGUAGGCCUAACACAUGCAAGUCGAACGGCAGCACAGUAAGAGCUUGCUCUUACGGGUGGCGAGUGGCGGACGGGUGAGGAAUACAUCGGAAUCUACUUUUUCGUGGGGGAUAACGUAGGGAAACUUACGCUAAUACCGCAUACGACCUACGGGUGAAAGCAGGGGAUCUUCGGACCUUGCGCGAUUGAAUGAGCCGAUGUCGGAUUAGCUAGUUGGCGGGGUAAAGGCCCACCAAGGCGACGAUCCGUAGCUGGUCUGAGAGGAUGAUCAGCCACACUGGAACUGAGACACGGUCCAGACUCCUACGGGAGGCAGCAGUGGGGAAUCUUGGACAAUGGGCGCAAGCCUGAUCCAGCCAUACCGCGUGGGUGAAGAAGGCCUUCGGGUUGUAAAGCCCUUUUGUUGGGAAAGAAAAGCAGCAGGUUAAUACCCCGCUGUUCUGACGGUACCCAAAGAAUAAGCACCGGCUAACUUCGU
RNAcentral lists this ribosomal RNA (491 nucleotides) under uncultured bacterium. RNAcentral's name for it is "partial 16S ribosomal RNA". It matches the Rfam family "Bacterial small subunit ribosomal RNA", at positions 29 to 506 of the family's 1533-position model. The record is from RNAcentral.